UGUACGUGCUUAACCAGUGAAUUCCGUGUU
RNAcentral lists this non-coding RNA (30 nucleotides) under Homo sapiens (human). Lineage: Eukaryota; Metazoa; Chordata; Mammalia; Primates; Hominidae. The record is from RNAcentral.